UAAGAUAGAGGUGCGGUAUAGAAUAGUAGGUGCUGACAGACUGCCAAGUCGUUUAUGCAGCAUUGAAAGGCGCAGCCGCCGAAGAUGAUGAUCUUGGCCGAUCGUUUUCUGAUCAUGCAUUUAAUAGGUGUAUGAUUGUCAUCAUACAUUACGAAUGAUGGAGUGCUAUCGC
RNAcentral lists this non-coding RNA (172 nucleotides) under pig gut metagenome. RNAcentral's name for it is "Lysine riboswitch". It matches the Rfam family "Lysine riboswitch aptamer". Rfam says of the family: Riboswitches are metabolite binding domains within certain messenger RNAs that serve as precision sensors for their corresponding targets. Allosteric rearrangement of mRNA structure is mediated by ligand binding, and this results in modulation of gene expression. The record is from RNAcentral.